UAGGGAAUCUUCGGCAAUGGGGGGAACCCUGACCGAGCAACGCCGCGUGAGUGAAUAAGGUUUUCGGAUCGUAAAGCUCUGUUGUUAAGGAAGAACGAGUGUGAGAAUGGAAAGUUCAUACUGUGACGGUACUUAACCAGAAAGGGACGGCUAACUACGUGCCAGCAGCCGCGGUAAUACGUAGGUCCCGAGCGUUGUCCGGAUUUAUUGGGCGUAAAGCGAGCGCAGGCGGUUAGAUAAGUCUGAAGUUAAAGGCAGUGGCUCAACCAUUGUAGGCGUUGGGAACUGUUUAACUUGAGUGCAGAAGGGGAGAGUGGAAUUCCAUGUGUAGCGGUGAAAUGCGUAGAUAUAUGGAGGAACACCGGUGGCGAAAGCGGCUCUCUGGUCUGUAACUAACACUGAGGCUCAAAAGCGUGGGGAGCGAACAGG
Molecule: ribosomal RNA, 429 nt
Filed under: Bacteroidota bacterium
Lineage: Bacteria; Pseudomonadati; Bacteroidota
Description: Bacteroidetes bacterium partial 16S ribosomal RNA
Rfam family: Bacterial small subunit ribosomal RNA
Source: RNAcentral